This 253-nucleotide ribosomal RNA is filed under the name uncultured bacterium. RNAcentral describes it as "partial 16S ribosomal RNA". It matches the Rfam family "Bacterial small subunit ribosomal RNA", at positions 524 to 776 of the family's 1533-position model. The record is from RNAcentral.
UACGAAGGGGGCUAGCGUUGUUCGGAAUUACUGGGCGUAAAGCGCACGUAGGCGGACUAUUAAGUCAGGGGUGAAAUCCCGGGGCUCAACCCCGGAACUGCCUUUGAUACUGGUAGUCUCGAGUCCGGAAGAGGUGAGUGGAAUUCCGAGUGUAGAGGUGAAAUUCGUAGAUAUUCGGAAGAACACCAGUGGCGAAGGCGACUCGCUGGACAAGUAUUGACGCUGAGGUGCGAAAGCGUGGGGAGCAAACAGG